AGGGGCUUCAUUGCGAGGGUCAGGUACAGGUUGAGCAGUGUGGCAUGAGCCUGAGGUCUUCGGACCAAUAGGGCAGCGAGAUUGGGUACUUUUGAGCUUUUCGUCAGUUGACGCAUGCAUACAGUAGCUGUAGUGCUUAUUUUCAGUACAUCCUUAUCUGUUUAUUGUAGCUACUGUUUUACUUACCUGCAUCUAUACUUGUCAGCUCCUUACUUAUCAGCAUAUUUACUUAUCAACACUUAUAUCUAUCUAGUUUCCCGUGACUAGUGAGUACCCCUCGCCCUCUACGGCUUGCGGUACCCACUGGGAGGGGAGACAUGUUUACAUGUUCUCACCCCCCGCCCCC
RNAcentral lists this long non-coding RNA (346 nucleotides) under Ananas comosus (pineapple). RNAcentral's name for it is "long non-coding RNA (ACOM_LNC010337)". Lineage: Eukaryota; Viridiplantae; Streptophyta; Magnoliopsida; Poales; Bromeliaceae. The record is from RNAcentral.